GUGCCAGCAGCCGCGGUAAUACGUAGGUGGCAAGCGUUGUCCGGAUUUAUUGGGCGUAAAGCGAGCGCAGGCGGUUUUUUAAGUCUGAUGUGAAAGCCUUCGGCUCAACCGAAGAAGUGCAUCGGAAACUGGGAAACUUGAGUGCAGAAGAGGACAGUGGAACUCCAUGUGUAGCGGUGAAAUGCGUAGAUAUAUGGAAGAACACCAGUGGCGAAGGCGGCUGUCUGGUCUGUAACUGACGCUGAGGCUCGAAAGUAUGGGUAGCAAACAGGAUUAGAUACCUUGGUAGUCCAUACCGUAAACGAUGAAUGCUAAGUGUUGGAGGGUUUCCGCCCUUCAGUGCUGCAGCUAACGCAUUAAGCAUUCCGCCUGGGGAGUACGGCCGCAAGGCUGAAACUCAAAGGAAUUGACGGGGGCCCGCACAAGCGGUGGAGCAUGUGGUUUAAUUCGAAGCUACGCGAAGAACCUUACCAGGUCUUGACAUACUACGCAAAUCUAAGAGAUUAGACGUUCCCUUCGGGGACAUGGAUACAGGUGGUGCAUGGUUGUCGUCAGCUCGUGUCGUGAGAUGUUGGGUUAAGUCCCGCAACGAGCGCAACCCUUAUUAUCAGUUGCCAGCAUUAAGUUGGGCACUCUGGUGAGACUGCCGGUGACAAACCGGAGGAAGGUGGGGAUGACGUCAAAUCAUCAUGCCCCUUAUGACCUGGGCUACACACGUGCUACAAUGGAUGGUACAACGAGUUGCGAACUCGCGAGAGUAAGCUAAUCUCUUAAAGCCAUUCUCAGUUCGGAUUGUAGGCUGCAACUCGCCUACAUGAAGUCGGAAUCGCUAGUAAUCGCGGAUCAGCACGCCGCGGUGAAUACGUUCCCGGGCCUUGUACACACCGCCCGU
RNAcentral lists this ribosomal RNA (892 nucleotides) under uncultured bacterium. RNAcentral describes it as "bacterial SSU rRNA". It matches the Rfam family "Bacterial small subunit ribosomal RNA", at positions 505 to 1397 of the family's 1533-position model. The record is from RNAcentral.